This 1040-nucleotide long non-coding RNA is filed under the name Carassius auratus (goldfish). RNAcentral describes it as "lncRNA (ENSCARG00000070230.1)". Lineage: Eukaryota; Metazoa; Chordata; Actinopteri; Cypriniformes; Cyprinidae. The record is from RNAcentral.
AAGCUGUGUGCAGCAUUGACUAGCGCUCAGCUUGCACAGUUUCUCAAACAUGAGCUAACCAUUGCCUUAGAGACAGUGACAUUAUGGACUGACUCGACUGCAGUGCUCACCUGGGUCCAGUCUGAGUCCUGUAGAUACAAGGUGUUCAUCAGGAUAAGGGUGGCAGAAAUACAAGAGUUGACUGAGCUCCACUCUUGGCAAUACGUUGACUCCUCAAAUAACCCGGCGGACGAUAUUACCAGAGGGAGAACGCUCAAGGAGCUGGCGAACUCUGACAUGUGGAGUCGAGGCCUAGGAUUCCUCCGUGAACUGCCAGAUCACUGGCCAGAUAAGCCCCUUGCAGAGGCCAGAGAGGAUACCUCAGAAACAAGGAAAGCUGUUUUCUGUGGAUUAGUCAAAGACGAUCGAAAUCCAGACAUGCUUGAUGCAUCUCAGUAUACUUCUUGGAGUGCCUUAGUCGACGCGACCUACCGGUCCCUCCAUGGGGUGGCCGCCCAAGAUACUAGUAAAGCAUCCGUAGAAUACAGGCAUGCAGAAGCUCUCAUCUUGAGUCAAUGUCAGGAGGAAUCCUUCCCAGAGGAAUUCAAGGCUUUAAAAUCAGGGAAACAGGUGCCCACAGCCAGCCGUCUAAACACGCUUGCACCCGAGUUCGACCCUGAGUUCUGUCUAAUUCAUGUGGGAGGUAGGCUACGGCGAUUGGAUGGCUUCAGAAAAACCGAGAUACACCCAGUGUUUCUAGAUCCCCAUCAUCAGGUGACAAAACUCAUCGUUAAGCACUUUGAUGAGCGUCUACUCCAUCCAGGACCUGAUAGGGUCUUCGCAGAGCUACGUCGCCAUUUCUGGAUCCUAAGGGGCAGGCAAGCCAUCAAACGACACCAGAGAGAGUGCAUAGAAUGUCAGAAGUGGAGAGCUAAGCCGACUCUACCUAUUAUGUCUGACUUACCCUCAGCUCGCCUACGAUUGUACCAACCCCCCUUCUUCUCUACUGGAGUCACUGCUUCAGGCCAUUCAUGGUUAAGAUUGGACGUCGGACGGAGAAG